UACGUAGGUGGCGAGCGUUGUCCGGAAUUAUUGGGCGUAAAGCGCGCGCAGGUGGUUUCUUAAGUCUGAUGUGAAAGCCCACGGCUCAACCGUGGAGGGUCAUUGGAAACUGGGGAACUUGAGUGCAGAAGAGGAAAGUGGAAUUCCAAGUGUAGCGGUGAAAUGCGUAGAGAUUUGGAGGAACACCAGUGGCGAAGGCGACUUUCUGGUCUGUAACUGACACUGAGGCGCGAAAGCGUGGGGAGCGAACAGG
This 253-nucleotide ribosomal RNA is filed under the name uncultured bacterium. RNAcentral describes it as "partial 16S ribosomal RNA". It matches the Rfam family "Bacterial small subunit ribosomal RNA", at positions 524 to 776 of the family's 1533-position model. The record is from RNAcentral.